Pseudoliparis swirei is the source of this 600-nucleotide long non-coding RNA. RefSeq lists it as uncharacterized. Lineage: Eukaryota; Metazoa; Chordata; Actinopteri; Perciformes; Liparidae. The record is from RefSeq and is a predicted model, not a curated record. The transcript is spliced from 3 exons.
GCGGAAAGUGGCCAGGUGGACCGCCGUCAUGACGUAGAGACACCUGGAUCCAACGCGCGCCGGACGUGGUCCAGAACGAGUUCUCCAUCAACCAGGUGAGCUGCUGCCGCUGCGUGGAGGGGAGGAAAGCAUCAUGUCUCUUUAAAGACGGGGUGUGUGUUUGUGCGUGUGCAUCUGUGUGUGUGUGUGUACCAGGUCCUGUGGCUCCCCCAGAGCUCCGGUCUCUGGUCCAGGGCCUGGUCCCAGACCUCCAGCAGGCCUCAGGCAGCCGGCUCCCCCUGGUGGAGCUUCUGAGUCAACACAUCGUCACCCUGAACCUGCACGACAGCGCCAUGUCCAGCCAGCUCACCAGGUGAGCGCUAACGAUGGCCCCGCCCCCUCUGACCCCUGACCUCUGCCCCCUGCCCAGUGCGCACGCCGCGGUGAACAUCAGCACCAACCUGUACGUAGGGAGUCAGCCGUGGCUCUUCUCUCUGGCCUGGUGCUGUGGCGUCCAAUCAGUGACCAGCAACGCCCCCCAGCUGCUGGGCGCCAUGGCCCGUUCACCGUGAUGUGGGUCCGUCCCUGGUGCUCGUCUUCAUCAUCUUCAUCUUCCACUGG